This is a long non-coding RNA of Pungitius pungitius (ninespine stickleback), 917 nucleotides long. RefSeq lists it as uncharacterized. The record is from RefSeq and is a predicted model, not a curated record. Lineage: Eukaryota; Metazoa; Chordata; Actinopteri; Perciformes; Gasterosteidae. The transcript has 2 exons.
CCUGAACCCGUCCCGCGCGUCCAGGUCCACGGCCCCCGUCCCGUUGGUGCCGUUCAUCGGGAAGUUGGCGUCCGGAGCCAGCCGCUCCGUGGCGCUGCCCACCAUGAUGCUGAUCACGGCAAAGGUACCUGAACGCAGCUCACCAAUGGAGAUGUGUCUGGAAGUACCGAAGAUGAAGUAGACCAGCACCGGGUAGAGGGAGGUGUAGAGGCCGUACACCGGGCGCAAGGAGGCCAGGAGGGCGUAGGCCAUGCCUAAGGGACGAGAAAUGAGAAAUACAUUCACAUUUGGGAUCUUUUACUGCAAGAAAAGUCUGACUUGCUUGAGCGGGAUGGAGCGAGUGGAGCAGAUACACCCCCAUUAUUUCAUUCAUGUCACUCUCCAUCCUUAUAAAAAGACCCUUCAAGUAUCAAAUGUGACUUCUGCAUCCUGCACAUCAGAUGUCUCGUGGACACUUUGACACGCUGACCAGAGAAACCUGGGACCGCAUCCAUCCUCCUGAGCUCCAUCAUACUGGAACAUCACGUGACCACUUUGAACCCGCCUUUAUCAAUGAUCGUUUUGAUACAACAACAAGAAAAGGAUUUUGGACUUUGGGUCGUUUGGUAUUUUCCUGAUUUGUUUUUUUUUGUCUUAAUAGAUUUUUGUGGAGUUUUGUGUUUCCCUUCCUGCCUGGAAGUGUUUGUUUCAUUGGUUCAUUAACCUGUUGCUACUUCAGUGUCUUUACUUCAGUGAUGUUUCGUACUUUGGGUUAUUUUCAUUUCCCUGACUGGGUUGGUAUUUCAAGGAGUAAGUGACCUUUUCCUUAUAUUUCAUUGGGUUUUGUGCUACUAUCUAAACAUAGAAAUGGGACAACUUUGCCUUCAGGGCUUUCAAAAGGAAAGACGUUAUGGUGAAUUAAAGAAGCAUCGAAGCUU